GAAAGAAAGAAAGAAAGAAAGAAGUAAUAACCUGGAGAUUCUUUUGCCGAGUUGGAGCUGGAGCCUAAAGUUGUAGAGAAGCCUUCUCCUCCUCCUUCUUUUAUAUUUUUGCCCGAUGAUCUAAAGAAAAUGGAAAUUCUAGGUCUGGUCUUCUUCUUCUUCUUUUAUUUUUUUGCCCGAUGGCCUAAAGAAAAUGAAAUUUCUUGGCCUAGUGUGGUUGAGGCGUGCCUGGGGCACGCCUUGCGCCUCGGCCGCCUGGGCUCGCCUCAGAAUGAUCGCCUGCCUGGAGAGCUUCAUGGCGUUGAGCCAAGAGCCUGAGUCGCCUUGUGCCUCAGGCACGCCUGGGGCGCGCGCCUUUAACAACUUUGUCAAGUGAGAUGUUUACUUUUAAUGCUUGGUGUGGCUCAAAAUUAGAUAUUGUCCAACUCAGUCUCUGUGGUACUAGGUGAUGGUCCAUUAUCCAUAAUGUCAGGCUGAGGUUGUGUCAAGUCUAGGGGUGAGCAUUUGGUUAACCGAACCGAAUUGAACUGAAUUAUUAACCGACUCUAAAAAUAUUAACG
RNAcentral lists this unclassified non-coding RNA (560 nucleotides) under Hevea brasiliensis (rubber tree). Lineage: Eukaryota; Viridiplantae; Streptophyta; Magnoliopsida; Malpighiales; Euphorbiaceae. The record is from RNAcentral.